AACGAACGCUGGCGGCAUGCCUAACACAUGCAAGUCGAACGAAGCCUUCGGGCUUAGUGGCGCACGGGUGCGUAACGCGUGGGAAUCUGCCCUUUGGUUCGGAAUAACAGUUGGAAACGACUGCUAAUACCGGAUGAUGACGAAAGGCCAAAGAUUUAUCGCCAGAGGAUGAGCCCGCGUAGGAUUAGCUAGUUGGUGUGGUAAAGGCGCACCAAGGCGACGAUCCUUAGCUGGUAUGAGAGGAUGAUCAGCCACACUGGGACUGAGAAACGGCCCAGACUCCUACGGGAGGCAGCAGUGGGGAAUAUUGGACAAUGGGCGAAAGCCUGAUCCAGCAAUGCCGCGUGAGUGAUGAAGGCCCUAGGGUUGUAAAGCUCUUUUACCCGGGAUGAUAAUGACAGUACCGGGAGAAUAAGCCCCGGCUAACUCCGUGCCAGCCGCCGCCGUAA
RNAcentral lists this ribosomal RNA (449 nucleotides) under uncultured bacterium. Its description in RNAcentral is "partial 16S ribosomal RNA". It matches the Rfam family "Bacterial small subunit ribosomal RNA", at positions 29 to 523 of the family's 1533-position model. The record is from RNAcentral.